ACGGCCAUAUCCAGGUGAAAGCACGACUUCCCGUCCG
Molecule: ribosomal RNA, 37 nt
Filed under: Blastobotrys adeninivorans
Lineage: Eukaryota; Fungi; Ascomycota; Dipodascomycetes; Dipodascales; Trichomonascaceae
Source: RNAcentral